GUGCAUAGUGCGGGUGCUAUACAUGCAAGUCGAACGAAACUUUCUUACACCGAAUGCUUGCAUUCACCGUAAGAAGUUGAGUGGCGGACGGGUGAGUAACACGUGGGUAACCUGCCUAAAAGAAGGGGAUAACACUUGGAAACAGGUGCUAAUACCGUAUAUCUCUAAGGAUCGCAUGAUCCUUAGAUGAAAGAUGGUUCUGCUAUCGCUUUUAGAUGGACCCGCGGCGUAUUAACUAGUUGGUGGGGUAACGGCCUACCAAGGUGAUGAUACGUAGCCGAACUGAGAGGUUGAUCGGCCACAUUGGGACUGAGACACGGCCCAAACUCCUACGGGAGGCAGCAGUAGGGAAUCUUCCACAAUGGACGCAAGUCUGAUGGAGCAACGCCGCGUGAGUGAAGAAGGUCUUCGGAUCGUAAAACUCUGUUGUUAGAGAAGAACACGAGUGAGAGUAACUGUUCAUUCGAUGACGGUAUCUAACCAGCAAGUCACGGCUAACUACGUGCCAGCAGCCGCGGUAAUACGUAGGUGGCAAGCGUUGUCCGGAUUUAUUGGGCGUAAAGGGAACGCAGGCGGUCUUUUAAGUCUGAUGUGAAAGCCUUCGGCUUAACCGGAGUAGUGCAUUGGAAACUGGAAGACUUGAGUGCAGAAGAGGAGAGUGGAACUCCAUGUGUAGCGGUGAAAUGCGUAGAUAUAUGGAAGAACACCAGUGGCGAAAGCGGCUCUCUGGUCUGUAACUGACGCUGAGGUUCGAAAGCGUGGGUAGCAAACAGGAUUAGAUACCCUGGUAGUCCACGCCGUAAACGAUGAAUGCUAGGUGUUGGAGGGUUUCCGCCCUUCAGUGCCGCAGCUAACGCAAUAAGCAUUCCGCCUGGGGAGUACGACCGCAAGGUUGAACUCAAAGGAUUGACGGGGGCCCGCACAAGCGGUGGAGCAUGUGGUUUAUUCGAAGCACGCGAAGAACUUACAGGUCUUGACAUCCUUUGACACUAAGAGAUAGGCUUCCCUUCGGGACAAGUGACAGUGGUGCAUGGCUGUCGUCAGCUCGUGUCGUGAGAUGUGGGUUAAGUCCGCACGAGCGCACCCUG
Molecule: ribosomal RNA, 1088 nt
Filed under: Ligilactobacillus salivarius
Lineage: Bacteria; Bacillati; Bacillota; Bacilli; Lactobacillales; Lactobacillaceae
Description: bacterial SSU rRNA
Rfam family: Bacterial small subunit ribosomal RNA
Source: RNAcentral